Molecule: long non-coding RNA, 240 nt
Filed under: Capsicum annuum
Lineage: Eukaryota; Viridiplantae; Streptophyta; Magnoliopsida; Solanales; Solanaceae
Description: long non-coding RNA (CANN_LNC001199)
Source: RNAcentral
UAGUCUCAGGCUUUACACCCAACCAUAGAGUAGCUUUUUCCAUAAUAAAUAAUGGAAAUAGCCUCAGUGUAAUAGCCUCCUAGCUCACUCCAAGAAAAUUAUUUAAAGUGCAGAUCCCCACAAAAUUCAUAAUAUGAAUGUUUGCAUUAUCGUUAAAAAGUCCAGCAAAUACCCCAUUUAAAUUCAAUAUUUGGAUGUAAUGUGAAUACCAAGAUUUGGUUAUUUUUGAAUCAAGAUAUU